Molecule: transfer RNA, 50 nt
Filed under: Isopterygiopsis muelleriana
Lineage: Eukaryota; Viridiplantae; Streptophyta; Bryopsida; Hypnales; Plagiotheciaceae
Description: tRNA-Leu
Source: RNAcentral
UCCCUCUACCCCCAAAAYUAGAAUUUUUUAUUGACAUAAACUGGAAGUUU